UACGUAGGGGGCAAGCGUUGUCCGGAGUUACUGGGCGUAAAGGGCCUGCAGGCGGUCUGCUAAGUUUGAAGUAACAGUCUCCGGCUCAACUGGAGAAGGCCUUUGAAAACUGGUAGACUUGAGGGCUUCAGAGGGACACGGAAUUCCGGGUGUAGUGGUGAAAUGCGUAGAUAUCCGGAGGAACACCAAAGGCGAAGGCAGUGUCCUGGGAAGUCACUGACGCUGAGGGGCGAAAGCCAGGGGAG
Molecule: ribosomal RNA, 245 nt
Filed under: uncultured bacterium
Lineage: Bacteria
Description: partial 16S ribosomal RNA
Rfam family: Bacterial small subunit ribosomal RNA
Source: RNAcentral